GAUAAGGUGUUUGUUUCGUUAUCUGUUUAGAUGACCUCACACUUAUCUUGGGUCAGCCUCCAUCCCACCUUGAGGGUGUUCAACUGAAGAGAUUCUCCUGUCCCUGCUGAAGUGUCUUCUCUUUAUCACCACCCAAUGGACAUAUUUGAAUCAAUGGCAGACGGGUCCUCUAAACCCACUCCAACUUCUGUCUUUCUUGCAGCCCACUUGGGAUCUGGAGAGUAAUACACCCAAGACUAAAUCCGCUGAUAUUCUCGCUGUGUUUGAAGCUUGGGUUGAAUACUCACAGGCUGCAUAAUGAGCAGGUCUGGCCUUGAGAGUAGCAGAGCAGCAGGCAGGCAAGAGGGCUUGUGCAGAGAGGAGACCAGAGAGGCAGUAAAAGUCAGCAGUGGUAACCUUGUCCGCCCAUGGUCACGGGUCAUUUGGCAAGCGCGCUACAGAAUUCAUUUCACUAAGAAGGAGAGAAUGCGAAAGGAGAGUGAACGAGAGGAAAUAGGAGGCGACUGAGAGGGACAUUGAUGGAGGAAGAAGGCGAUGAUAAAUUUGAAUAGAAACAAUUGUUCGGUUACAACAGCCUGAUGUCUCUUUUUAGCAUUGUGAUCAAUACAAAUGCUGGCAUUCAGCUGUUAUAUGAUCAUUUUGUAGCACUUUCUGAUGGAUU
Non-coding RNA from Danio rerio (zebrafish), 661 nucleotides. The record is from Ensembl. NCBI's taxonomy places the organism in Eukaryota, Metazoa, Chordata, Actinopteri, Cypriniformes, Danionidae.